UUGGUCCUAAUCUAGCGGGUGACCCCUGGAAUCAGUCCUAUACAUUUAAAUGUGCUAACAGGUGAUCCCUGAGUAUGUCAGUCCUAUCUAUCGGUGACAUCUCGUACCUACGCUGGCUACGUAGUUCUAAAACUUAGAGAUUUUUUCUAGGGAUCUCAGUCCUAUUCUAGCGGGUGAGUCCCCAUCCCUAGGGUCGCUCGAUGCUGAAUCCUACUCCCAUCUGAAAGACACUGAACUUAUUAAUUGAGUUGAACUAAUUAACGGAACUGAAUUGAUUAGUUGAAUUAAUACUAGUGGUAUUGUUUAGCAGAGCUAAACUGAGUUUACUGAGUUUC
This 335-nucleotide long non-coding RNA is filed under the name Capsicum annuum. RNAcentral describes it as "long non-coding RNA (CANN_LNC016353)". The record is from RNAcentral. Lineage: Eukaryota; Viridiplantae; Streptophyta; Magnoliopsida; Solanales; Solanaceae.